RNAcentral lists this ribosomal RNA (453 nucleotides) under uncultured bacterium. RNAcentral's name for it is "bacterial SSU rRNA". It matches the Rfam family "Bacterial small subunit ribosomal RNA", at positions 340 to 786 of the family's 1533-position model. The record is from RNAcentral.
UACGGAAGGCAGCAGUGGGGAAUAUUGCACAAUGGGCGCAAGCCUGAUGCAGCCAUGCCGCGUGUAUGAAGAAGGCCUUCGGGUUGUAAAGUACUUUCAGCGGGGAGGAAGGCGAUGUGGUUAAUAACCGCGUCGAUUGACGUUACCCGCAGAAGAAGCACCGGCUAACUCCGUGCCAGCAGCCGCGGUAAUACGGAGGGUGCAAGCGUUAAUCGGAAUUACUGGGCGUAAAGCGCACGCAGGCGGUCUGUUAAGUCAGAUGUGAAAUCCCCGGGCUUAACCUGGGAACUGCAUUUUGAAACUGGCAGGCUUGAGUCUCGUAGAGGGGGUAGAAUUCCAGGUGUAGCGGUGAAAUGCGUAGAGAUCUGGAGGAAUACCGGUGGCGAAGGCGGCCCCUGGACGAAGACUGACGCUCAGGUGCGAAAGCGUGGGGAGCAAACAGGAUUAGAUACC